Paramisgurnus dabryanus is the source of this 5582-nucleotide long non-coding RNA. RefSeq lists it as uncharacterized. The record is from RefSeq and is a predicted model, not a curated record. NCBI's taxonomy places the organism in Eukaryota, Metazoa, Chordata, Actinopteri, Cypriniformes, Cobitidae.
CUAUAUAAGCCCCUCUGUUAACUUUUGUUCGAGCCUGUCUAGAUCUUUUAUCAGUCUAGAAAGAUGUUGGAGAAAAGACAUCAUCCUCUUCUAUAAUCUCCAUCUGUAAUUGGACUAACAACUGGACCAGUGAAUGCAGGUCACACCAUGGUCUCACGAGUGAAAAUGAGUGCUCUAUGGAUUGAACAGAAAAGGUGAAUCAAAACUCCAACCAUCUGUAUGAGGGUCUGGAAAAAGGAUGCCCCCUGGAGCUGGAAAUGAUGGAUCAGGUGGAUCCACACUUGAACCAUCUGUAUGAUGAUCUGCACCCACUGGAUCUGUAAAUGGUGGUGCAGGUAAGUUUCACAAGUAAACAAACUCAAAUCCUAUUCAGACCAUUCAUGAUUUCAGCAAUAACCAAGUUUUCUCGUCACAAUAAGACUGCAUUUACAUUGCAAAUCUUAAUGCACAGAUCAGAUUUUUUUGACUAUAUUCAUUUUUUGUUCUGCUCUUUUUAUAUUUACAUAAGACACGAUUCAUAUUGAAUAUCUGUUAACAAUAAUUUCCAAAACUGCAGUUAAUAUGAGUGUCAUGAUUUGCACUUGAGUUUUGUAUCGACUUAAGCCAGGGUCACUGCCAAUUUAGGCAUGUUUUAAUUAUGACACUUAAACAAUUGUAUAUGUACUUCGAUAAAAGUUUUUGCAAUCAAGCCAUACAUACCCGUUUGCCACUGAACCUGCAUUAACGACGACAGUGGGGCCUCCAGCCUUAGUCAAACGGGUUGGCACGUAUGGUCGGGUUGCGAUUUUGGCGCUAUCGUAAGUCUUAUGAAUAGUAUGCCAUACAGACCCGUUUGCCACUGAACCUGCAUUAACGACGACAGUGGGGCCUCCAGCCUUAGUCAAACGGGUUGGUAUGUAUGGUCGGGUUGCGUUUUUCGCACUUUCGUGUGUCUUGCGAAUAGUAUGCCAUACAGACCCGUUUGCCACUGAACCUGCAUUAACGACGACAGUGGGGCCUCUCAGCCUUAGUCAAACGGGUUGGCACGUAUGGUCGGGUUGCGAUUUUGGCGCUAUCGUAAGUCUUAUGAAUAGUAUGCCAUACAGACCCGUUUGCCACUGAACCUGCAUUAACGACGACAGUGGGGCUUCCGGCCUUAGUCAAACGGGUUAACACGUAUGGUCGGGUUGCGAUGUUUUUGGCGUUUUCUCCUGGUCCUGUAAAUGGUAUACAAUAUAGACCCGUUUGCCACUGAACCUGCAUUAACGACGACAGUGGGGCUUUAGGCCUUAGUCAAACGGGUCGUCAGGUUUCAUUUUCUCUUAAAGAUCGGAAGGUGACCCUUAUUUACCAUAUAUACCCUCGCAUUGGGCCCCCAAUUUGCUAAAUCCUCAACUAUGGAUAACAUAAUUAUGCCGCAAUAUUUAGUCUGUCUGGAACUAAGCUGAGUUAAACCACAUCACUGUGUGACACUUCAAUACAUAUGAACGGCCGCUACGCUAAUACGAUUUUGUUUUUCUCUCCCUGUCUCGUCCUCGACCCGAGGACGAGACAAACAGACCCAGUCCCGGUAGAUGUGAAAGUCGGCACACCUCUGAUCUACUGGCUGUCCUUCAACGUUAUGCCCAGCUGAUACCUGACCAACGAUCACCGGCAGAACCGCUUAAUCUCCGCUAAAUCUCCAUUUCCGUUCUCCCAAGGGUUUUUCCCUCCUAGGACUUAUUUUUCCUCGGAUAAAAGCACGGGGGUUUUUUUUCUCCUAGGGGGUUUUUCACCCCGGGGAGGCAGCCUUUUUGGGCUUUACCUAGCUUCCUCUUCUAUACGUUGCUUUAGUAAUACGUGCAAUUAUAAUAUUGAGUCAUAGCCGCAGCAAAUUUAACUGCUCAUGCUUUCAUGUAUUUUGUUGUGCUAUCUGUCGUUUUCUGUGCUUUUCACUGCUUCUAUUUAUGUAAAGCUGCUUUGAAACAAUUGACUUUUGUGAAAAGCGCUAUAUAAAUAAAUUGAAUUGAAUUGAAAAAUAGAAAUGUUAACAUACAAUUAAAAGUCUCAUGCUUUACAUCCAGAACAUGAUGCACGAUGGGAUGCACAAAGUGAUAUUUGGACGCAGCCUCAGUCUGUCAGAUCAAAAAGACAAACAGAAUGCACAGAGCAGUGGGACUCCAUGAACAGAGUUGAGAACCACUGCUGUAACUCAUUAUGCUUACCUGACUCAUGCAGAAUUCUGGCCUGGUGUUUGGUCCCCCCGUUCUCUGGCUUGUGUCUCCAUCAUCAUUACACUCUUGUCACUGUAAUAGUAUCGUCGUCUGCGUACCAGGACUUUGUUAUUCAGCUGUCCCUUCUCCUUCAAACUACAUUUUUGUCAAGCUGCAACAAGUUGGAAUACAUAAUUAUUAACGUUUAAUGAUUUUGAUGUAUGAAAUAUGUAACAAAAGCAAAAAAUGUAUAGAUAUUCUAUUAAGAAAUUACCUUUUUGUUGUUUGUUUACUGACCUUUCAACCAUAUUGCAUUUAUAAUUGAUCAUCAUACCUUUGGUCUACUGUUAACAGGCUACUGUAGCAAACUUUGAACAAAGUCAAACAAAAAAAGAGAAAAAAUUAUAAAUGCUGAAUGUGUCUUAUCUUAAAUACAUUGUUGUUGUUUUUUUUUUCAUUCAAUUUGGAUGUUUUGAUGAUUUAAGGAAAAUGUACGUAGCAUAUAUUGAUGUUUUAAAUCAGAGUUUGUUAAUGACACUUAAUCAUUAACAAACAUUUAAAAAGGUUUAUUACAAUACUAAUUGAUAAUAUUAAUGUACUAAUCUUGUUUUGUUACACCCUAAAUCAUUAGCUACCCCAGUUACAAGCAUGAGUUUUUGACUUCAUGCAGACAUCCGCAGAAAUCGAAGUACCGCGAGAGUGGUUCAAAAGCCCAGGAAACAGUGUAAUCACGCGGUACUGUGAUGUCAUACUGGUUAACGCUUAGCCACGUGAAGCCGGACACAAGGGCUGCACUAAUCUUUGGGCUGGAGUAGCCUGUGGUUUUUGAGGCUUCCGUGUGUCGUCGCGUUAAACGAUCGCAGAACGAUUUAUUUCUCUUUUUCACCUCGAUUUUGGCCUCUUGUGAUUUACCAAAACCAACAUGUGAAGUAACAACGCUGACGAAGGAGUUUCAUCAGUAGAGUGUGUCCUGGUAAACGUGUGCUCGGAAACAUGCAGAUUACAGUAUUUACAGAGCCGACCUUGAGGCACCCACUGAUGGAUAAUCUGUUUACCUAAAAACAGGGUGGUGUUCAUACAAAGCAACUUAUUGCUCUUCUGCUUGAGAGAAAGUUACUGCUGGGGCUCUCCUGGUAAGGUUGUCUAAAGGUUGUCUUAAUUCUAAAAGUCAUUUAUCUGAAUAUGAAAGGCUUAAGUCAUAGCAAGUUUUGAAUGAAUGACUUCACAAUCUGUUUUAAUAAUGUUUAUUUACAAUGUAUUUUAUUCCACUGACCUGAAUCGUGCAGAAUUCUGGCUUGAUGUUUAGUCCACCGAUUGUCUUCUCCAACCUCUGAGUGAAGCCACCACGAGUGGUCGUGUUAACCAAUUUUUUAUCUUAGUGCACAGUGAGUGUGUCUACAUAGUCUAAACGCUUAAUAAACUGAUAACGUGUCAUUUAAAAAAGGUCAUAAAUGGCAAAAACUGAUUGCCACAGGUAGUUAUUUGCUCUUAACCCAGAUUUUAACAUUGCAUGUCUUAACGUCUUUUUUGCCAUUUCAGAUGUGCGCAUGUCUCCACCUGUGAUAGAUAAACUUCACAAAUGAAAGUAAAUUAAAACACUUGAAACAUGUUAAUGUAAUAAGCUGAUUUUUAUAAUAUCAUAAUAAGAUAAUUGUCCUCUUAUUAUGUGCAUGUAAACAUACUCAAUGUCUUUGUUUAUCCUUUGUCUCAAGUCACACUGAGUGUGAGAAGUCAUUUGUCCAGUGCUGUCGUGAAAUCUGCAAAUAACUGCAACUCAUUCAGUCUAACAUGAUGGUUGAAUUCAACACAGAUAAACUCCCACUUUAUAGACCACAAGAGUUGAGUUCAGUCAGAUUAAGAUAGUUGAUUGAGCGUAGUAGGCAUGGGCCGGUAUAAGAUUCUGGCGGUAUGAUUACCUUUAGCAAAAAUACCAUGGUUUUACAGUUUUGCGGUAUUGCCAUUGCUACACUAAAAUUUGUUAUUUUUAAAUGCCAGGUAAAAAUAAAGCCUUUAAAUUAUAUUAUAUAUAAUAUUUUCUUAAUGUAUGUUACAUGUAAACAUCAAAUCAAUCACAUGACUUAAUGAUUUAAUGAAUUUUGUAUAAAUACAGUUCAUACCUUGGAGAUGGUAUCACAGACCAUUUUAGUAGUUUUGUAACCUUGACUGUUCAAACCUCGGUAUACCUUAAACCGGUAACCAGUCCAUGCCUACCGUGUAGUAUCUAUUAUUUAGGUGGUUGACAGGUCUGUUUGCAUGUUAUUGCAUUGGUAAUAAUUUAUUGUUUAUAGUCCAAUAUUGAUUGUGAGAAUUAUUUCAAUUUCCUUAAAAAUGUUCUAACAUCUUUUUCCUUUCUUUUCUUAAUGCAGCACUUCAGGAGAAACCUGCCUGUGAUCUGCUAAGAUGCACAGAUUCAACUCUGGCCCUUUGCCAUCCCAACACCUCAUCUGCCAUCAGUUUCGUUUAGUGUUGGUCUAUUGCAAAAGUUCUUAUAAAUUUUAAAUGAGACUUUGUGUUAAGCAGGGGUUUCCAAACUUUAAAUUCCACAACAUAUUAAGCCCAGGAUACACAGCAGGAUUUUUGCUAUCCAAUAAGACCUUAUCACACUGUGUGACAAGGAUUGUUUAAACUUCAGCAGUAGACUGUCGAUGAAGACACCUAUUGCAUCUGAAGCUGCGACAUCUGUCAUCAACAUGCGCUAGUGGUAAACAAAUACAGGUAUGCAGGUCGUAGAAGCAAACACGUUGUUGAUGUGCGUUGAUCAUGCUGAACUUCUUACACUGUCAUAAAACUAUCGUAGGACCACCAAUUAAGAGCCACGAUCACAGAAAUCUCCACGAUUGUUUCACGAUUGGUAAUCUUUCAUCUGGGACAGCCAAAAAUCGUGCCGUGUGUUAUGGGCUUUAGACAGGUGUAAUCUUAUAGUAUAUCAAAACCAUUGCUAAUAAUUAAUUGGACAAACCAUCUCUACAAUGCAACACUCACUAUCUUACGGUGCGACCCACAAGUGGGUCUUCACCCACAGUUUAAAAACCCUGAGUAUGAGAAAGAGUAUGUUGUAUUGUAAUUAAAGUCACAUCUAAGUGUUAUGGAGCAGUUUGUCAUUAUAUUCACCGUAUUACAUGGUUCUUUCAGCAGUUACUACGUUACAGUGCUCUUAAAGUGUCCUGAUCAGCUUUGGGUCUUGUGAAGUAAUCUAAUGAAAAUGUGAUCAAUAGCUUUGCAGUAUUUUUGUUACACUGUGGCUGUAAUCAUAUUAACACAUAGGUUAAACAUUUUAUUCAAAAUUUGGUAAACAAACUAGUCAAUAUAAUUCAUGCUGUGAUGCUGGAUUAAACCUGGUCAAAUGAUUGUGUAUUGUGUUUUCAAUUUUUUUAUGAGGUUUCUUCAUCUAUAUAAACAUUCUCAAUAUCA